GAUUAAGUUUCAGGGCUGAGCUUCUGAGCUCAGGUCAUUGAGCUCUCCUGCACAUUCGGCAAGAUGCUGCACAAUCUCCUCUGGUCUGAAUUUCUGCUGGUUUUGUUUUCCCAGCUGGGAAUGUAGCCUUUGCCCAAGGGCUGGGAAGCACUAAGCAGCUCCAGCUUUACCUGAACGCAGCGCUGGCUGGCAGCUUUGCAGAUUUACCAGGAUCCAGAUGUUACAGCUAAAUGCAAACCAACUUGCUGCCUGGUUUUGAAAACUGUUCUGUGCUUGUAAGCCCUUUGCAAAUGCAGAAAAUAACAUUCAGCUUUGCAACACACUACAGCUGAGGAGGAGUUUUUCAUAACGAGCUGAUUCCCAGCACUGGUGGUCAUGGGAUAAAUUCACCGUGAAGAUGUGGGAGGUAGACAGAAGGGCUUUCAGGUAGAAGUGAGUUUCCUCUGGAUUACCAGCUAGAAAGUGAAAGAUGACACUAUUAGCAUUUAAUGUAAGGCACGCAGCAGCUGCCCCAUUUCUUUCCUUGACUUUAUCAAACUCUAAUGGAAGUUGGAUGGCUUCAGAAUAAUUUCACCAGCUGUGUUGAUCACACUCCUACAAGCUCAGAGUUCAUCCCUCUCCUCUCCAACACAAUAUUCACUGAACUAGCAAAUGAAAAGUCACAACACAAUUGGGAGUACUGGGGAAAGGUGAAGAGAUCCAAGAGACGCAACAUGCUCGGAAAGCCCUUGCCUGCUUACCAGGUGGUGGUGCAGACAUCGCGGGAACCUGUGUGCUGGUGAGACAGCUCAUGUCCCCCACCGGUCUCCUCCUUGCUCUGCUCACACUGACCUCAUUGCUGGGAGUCCCUGGUGCCAGGGACAGGAGGGAUAAGGUGGGCUCCCAUCCCAAGCACACAGACCGGGGAAAAUCAGGCAAUGUCUGUGAUGCAUUUUUUUUUUUCUUUUCUGAAUAUAACUGGCUAAACAGUGGGAAAAAGGUGAAGGGCUCAUGUUCCAAAAACAAACAUUUGAGCCUUUACAAGGAUGUUUUGUGGCAUAGCGACAACUUGUAGAUUCUCCAGUGUUUCUGUGCAAACCAAAUGGUGUUAUUUAAGAGCAGAACUGUUUGUGCAGCUGAACAGAGUUGGGCAGCAAUUCACCCUGAAUGUCUUGAAUUUCACCUGAAAAUUUCACUUAAAAUAUUGUUGCGAAGAGAUCAGUCCUGUGGUUUAGGGCAGACUGCUCCAACCACAUUGAGACGGAUGGCUGGGCUUGGCUGUCAGAGAGGCUGGUAUCAGAGUUUUUGCUGCUGUCAGCUUUGCUUGGCGUAAGUAGGCUGCAAACGCUGCCUUGUACCAGCUCACUGGACGGGAUGAUUGUCACCAAACCCAAGCAGAAGUGACAUUCCUGGAAUAAAUUAUUCAGCAAAGCACAAGGAAUGACUCCUCCUGCCCCAAACAGGUGCUGUCACAUUUCUGCACCCAGCUUUUGCCUGACUUAUGGCUGAUGCUCUCCCUGCAUCACGCGAGAGCCCCCAAGCAGCUGCUUUGCAUCCUGCUGACUGUGCCAAAAUGCAGCCGUCCAGCACCUGUGUGGAUGUUUGUAAGUCCGUAAUGAAAACGCAGCACCACUGCCAUGCAAUCUCCAUGGAUUUGUGGUUAAAAUGCUUUGUCAAUGUAAUCUUAUAUCUUAAUGACCAAAUAAUGGCAUACAACAGGAGCUGCAUAAGAAGUCACUGGAUAUCAUUUUGCUGUCAUUGUGAAGGCCCUGGAACAUGAUCCUCAUUACAGGGGAAUUUGCAUUAACAUUGUUUGGCCAACAUAAUCCCACCCCAUAAUCACAUUUUUAGUAUAUUAAAAUAGGUCUGACUCUAUCCUGAGUUUUAACCCCUUGGUCCCCAAAGCAUUGGAUGGGAUUUAGCUCAGGAGCUCCAUCAAAGCCGAUGGAGCCACCACAUGAAAUCACCAGGCAAUGCAGGGUAAUUUGGCUGAUCUUGUUUAGCCACAAAAUCUGGUUCUUUGAUGGCAAAGUAAUGCAAUACUCCUGCUAAAUCCACAGCAUCAUGGAAAAAGAAAAAAAAAAAAAGAAAGAAAGAAAAGUUCCUGUCUGUGCUUUGCUAUUUUGGGAUGGCAGUUUGAUUUUCACUUCCCCCAUUUACUAAUAGUAAUGAUUGUUCUCUAAAGAUGUGCUGCCUUUGUUAGCUGGAUUGUUGCAGUAGGAGACGACCCCCAUGUUUUUGGCACCCAUUGUGAUUGGUGCUAAAUGCCCUGUUAAGGGUUUGUAUGGAUCUUGCAGGAAUGCUCUUCACCUGUGCUGACUUUUAAGCAAGCCGCAGUAUUCAGAAAGCAUUGAUUUUUGCUCCCUAUCCUAAGUUUCUGUAUCCUUCUCAUUUUUUCCAACCGUGAGCUCAGCGAAAGACUUCUGGUGCAGGAUUUAAAUAGACUGUAAGUGGGAGGCGAGAAGUAUUCUCCUAGUGUACAGAUGAGAAACUGAGGCAUGGAGAGAUUCAAGGAUUUGCUCCAUGACUGACCGACACCCAGAGUCUAAGACAGGGACAGGAGCAAGGACCACAUGCUUUAUGGUUAGAACACCAGAUUUGUUUUGGGAAAUCAAGAUUCACUUCCUGUGCCUCCUGCUGCCUCCUGGGUGGCAUUGGCAGAGGCAAGUAGGGCAGAAUUUGUCACCCCAGAGGUGUUACCCUCAUUUGGUGCUUUUGUGGCUUGACAAGGAAAUGAUGGGAUAAGAUGCCUGAUUUGAAGGAAGCCAGACAUCUGUGAGCCCAUCUCUGUGUACACUGGGAUGACAGCACUUCUCUCCUGGAUGGGUCAUAGAAUCAUAGAAUGGUUUGGUUUGGAAGGGACCUUAAAUAUCAUCUAAUUCCAACCCUCA
This is a long non-coding RNA of Cygnus olor (mute swan), 2870 nucleotides long. RefSeq lists it as uncharacterized. The record is from RefSeq and is a predicted model, not a curated record. Lineage: Eukaryota; Metazoa; Chordata; Aves; Anseriformes; Anatidae. The transcript is spliced from 3 exons.